This 307-nucleotide ribosomal RNA is filed under the name uncultured bacterium. RNAcentral's name for it is "bacterial SSU rRNA". It matches the Rfam family "Bacterial small subunit ribosomal RNA", at positions 775 to 1074 of the family's 1533-position model. The record is from RNAcentral.
AGUAAAUAGAUACCCGGGUAGUCCACGCCGUAAACGAUGGGUACUAGAUGUCGGAAGAUCUUACCCUUCCGGUGUCGGCAGCUAAACGCAUUAAGUACCCGCCUGGGAAGUACGGUCGCAAGAUUAAACUCAAAGGAAUUGACGGGGCCCGGCACAAGCGGUGGAGUAUGUGGUUUAAUUCGACGCAAACGCGAAAACCUUAACCUGGGCUUGUACAUCCACGCUACCCUACUGAAAGUAAGGGGUUCCCUUCGGGGACGUGGAGACAGGUGCUGCAUGGCUGUCGUCAGCUCGUGUCGUGUAGAUG